Pteropus alecto (black flying fox) is the source of this 2137-nucleotide RNA transcript. It is a transcript of the gene named MYST/Esa1 associated factor 6, with no coding region annotated. The transcript is spliced from 9 exons. The record is from RefSeq and is a predicted model, not a curated record. NCBI's taxonomy places the organism in Eukaryota, Metazoa, Chordata, Mammalia, Chiroptera, Pteropodidae.
UGGGGCUGGGGGCUUAUGUAUGGGAGCCCUGGAAAGGAAACACUGGCAAACCUGGAGAGACAGAUCUAUGCUUUUGAAGGAAGCUACCUGGAAGACACUCAGAUGUAUGGCAAUAUUAUUCGUGGCUGGGAUAGGUAUCUGACCAACCAAAAAAACUCCAAUAGCAAAAACGAUCGAAGGAACCGGAAGUUUAAGGAAGCUGAGCGACUCUUCAGUAAAUCCUCAGUUACUUCAGCAGCUGCAGUAAGCGCUUUGGCAGGAGUUCAGGACCAGCUGAUUGAAAAGAGGGAACCAGGAAGUGGGACAGAAAGUGAUACUUCUCCAGACUUCCACAAUCAGGAAAAUGAGCCUAGCCAGGAGGACCCUGAGGAUCUGGAUGGAUCUGUGCAGGGGGUGAAACCUCAGAAAGCUGCUUCUUCUACUUCCUCAGGGAGUCAUCACAGCAGCCAUAAAAAACGAAAGAAUAAAAACCGGCACAGCCCGUCUGGCAUGUUUGAUUAUGACUUUGAGUAUGUAUAUUAGGUUAGGCUGGGAAGUUUUUUUUAAAAACAGAAAAACGUGAUGGAGGAUUGAUCUGAAGUUAAACAAAAAACCACGAGCCGACUAUUAGAAGACUCAUUAGUGCAGAAGCCUCCAGGCUUUAGAGCCCUGCUUCCCUCCUCUGACCUCACAAAGAUAAACAUCCCUCACCUGAGUGUAUGGCCAUCCACUUCUGCUUUCCCAGACCCAGUGCCUGUGACUCUGAGUAGUUUGUUCUGAAAUGUGGUGACAAAGAAGUCAUUUCCGUAAGACCACGUCGGAUCAUUUACUUUGUGUCAUUUUUAGUAACAGAACUGCAGGAAGACCAAGACAUGGUUAUAAUCCCAGCAAGUUGCUAACUGAAUCUCUCCCUUCUUGGAAUGAAUGUCUCCCCCAAACUGGCUGGCACCAGCUUCCUGUGUGACACUCAUCGAGAAAUGGUCUCUGCUUUUGUUUUAUGCUGAAAGUAGAACAGAGGUCACAUUUCAGAGGGAGGCUGUAAAUACCUGAAGUUUUCUUAUUUUGUUUGUGUUUUAUCAUUUUUCUAUUGUUGUUUUUACCAUCUUAUUUUCUUUUGGGACUUUUUGUAAUGCCUUUGUACAGCUCAUACCUCCCACUGACGUAGCUGAUGAUCCUUUUUGCGGAGUUGCCAGUAUGCUUACCUGAGAGCAGCCUGGUUUACCAUAAUUAAAUGGGGAACCUGACCCUUUGGGUUUUUUUGCAGGGGAAAGGUAAAAAGUGUUUAUUUAAUAAUUACCUAUCUUAAAUCUCUGAGUCGGAAGCAGUUUCAUGUUCGAGGAAUAGGAAAGCUGAAAGACAUAAAUUUAAAUCAGUCCUUUUAAAAUAUUUUUAUUCUUUUGUAUAAAUAAAAUUUCACAGGCUUUGCCUUCUCAUGCUUUACUUUUAAACCUGAGAUUGUGUUUUCACUUAUUUAUUUGUAUCAUGCUUUAUGGAAAUUUCUUUCCUUGCCCAUCUUUUCUCUCUUUGCUGGUAUUAGCCUGAUCAAAUAUUGCUCUUAAAAUCAUUAAGGCAUGUGGAAAGACUCAAAGUUGUACCCAGAGCUGAUAACCUAUGGAGUUCUUGAGCAGAGUGAAAGAUAGGGACGAGAGCCAGCGGUGCCGGCAGAUGCCCCUUCCUCGUGGGAGCGACGGACUGAGGAACUCGCUGAUGACUGUUACCUGCCUGGAGCAGUGGUGGUCUACCUUCGCUACACAUUGGAGUCACCUGAGAAGCUUAACAAAUACUGAUGCCUGGGUCCCACCCCCCAGAGACUCUUGACUAGGAUACAAUCUAGUUAUGGGCAUUUCUUUCAAAGAGUCCCCAGGGUUCCAAUAGGAAGCCAGAUUGGGAACCACUGCGUUAGGAGACAGGAUGGUGUGAUUUACAUCCUUUGUAAUGAAUGAGUCUAAGAGAUAAGAUUUGGGGCCUCACCUUUUGUUUGACUCUUUAGUCAUAGUCCUUUACUUAUGCCCAUAUCUUUGUUAGAAAAAAAUGUUCCAUUUGUGAUAAUAUUGAUAGAGCUGAAUAUGGGUGGUGUCUAUUAUCAGAACAAUUCUACCUUGUCUGAUGUGCAAAAGCUUUCACUCUUGUUCUCAAAUAAACUUUGUUUUGUUUUGGA